CCUACGGGUGGCAGCAGUGAGGAAUAUUGGGCAAUGGGCGCAAGCCUGAACCAGCAACGCCGCGUGAAGGAAGACGGCUUUCGGGUUGUUAACUUCUUUUAAGAGGGAAGAGAAGAAGACGGUACCUCUUGAAUAAGCCACGGCUAACUACGUGCCAGCAGCCGCGGUAAUACGUAGGUGGCAAGCGUUGUCCGGAUUUACUGGGUGUAAGGGGCGUGCAGCCGGGAAGACAAGUCAGAUGUGAAAGCUCGCGGCUCAACCGCGGAACUGCAUUUGAAACUGUUUUUCUUGAGUACCGGAGAGGUCAGCGGAAUUCCUUGUGUAGCGGUGAAAUGCGUAGAUAUAAGGAAGAACACCAGUGGCGAAGGCGGAUGACUAGACGGCAACUGACGGUGAGGCGCGAAAGCGUGGGUAGCAAACAGGAUUAGAUACCCUAGUAGUC
RNAcentral lists this ribosomal RNA (442 nucleotides) under uncultured bacterium. Its description in RNAcentral is "partial 16S ribosomal RNA". It matches the Rfam family "Bacterial small subunit ribosomal RNA", at positions 338 to 795 of the family's 1533-position model. The record is from RNAcentral.